Molecule: ribosomal RNA, 495 nt
Filed under: uncultured bacterium
Lineage: Bacteria
Description: partial 16S ribosomal RNA
Rfam family: Bacterial small subunit ribosomal RNA
Source: RNAcentral
GACGAACGCUGGCGGCGUGCCUAAUACAUGCAAGUAGAACGCUGAAGGAGGAGCUUGCUCUUCUGGAUGAGUUGCGAACGGGUGAGUAACGCGUAGGUAACCUGCCUGGUAGCGGGGGAUAACUAUUGGAAACGAUAGCUAAUACCGCAUAACAGUAGAUGUUGCAUGACAUUUGCUUAAAAGGUGCAAUUGCAUCACUACCAGAUGGACCUGCGUUGUAUUAGCUAGUUGGUGGGGUAACGGCUCACCAAGGCGACGAUACAUAGCCGACCUGAGAGGGUGAUCGGCCACACUGGGACUGAGACACGGCCCAGACUCCUACGGGAGGCAGCAGUAGGGAAUCUUCGGCAAUGGACGGAAGUUUGACCGAGCAACGCCGCGUGAGUGAAGAAGGUUUUCGGAUCGUAAAGCUCUGUUGUAAGAGAAGAACGAGUGUGAGAGUGGAAAGUUCACACUGUGACGGUAUCUUACCAGAAAGGGACGGCUAACUACGUG